Long non-coding RNA from Macaca fascicularis (crab-eating macaque), 1562 nucleotides. The record is from Ensembl. NCBI's taxonomy places the organism in Eukaryota, Metazoa, Chordata, Mammalia, Primates, Cercopithecidae.
UAUCAGGUGCCUGCUGACUGACCAAUGAACAGCUCUCACCUGGGGACCUUAUGCCCUAGAAUAUUGUGCCUCUGGUCUGAAGGAAGUCUGAGGGUAGGAGGGGCUGGGGGAGACUGAGCUGGAACUCCAUUCUUUCCAGUUUCCUGUCCUUAGGAGUGCCCUGGGGCAUUUAUGAAGCUCAUUAGUAAAGUAGCAAUUAAUGUGGGGCCCAGAGCUUGGCUUCUUCCUGCCAGGGAGGCCACAAAGUUCCAGAACGUCCCAGGGAGGAAUGGGGCACCACCCAGGCCUGCCUCCUGGGGCUGCAAAACAAUCCCUAAUGAGUCCUCUCCAGGGGAGGGUGAAGUCACCUGCAAGGAGGCAGCUGAGCCGAAGGUGUUCUCCACGAGGCUUAAAAUAGCCCGGCUCCCUCCACAAAUGCCUUCCCAACACUGUUUAGGAUGGCAAAUGCCAGGAAACUAAUGAAUCUGAGCUUAGUGAAUUAAUUGUUGAUGAAAUAAUGUGAAUAGUGUGCUUCCUGUUCAUCAGUCUCUACAGAAAUUAAUUAGCCCCACUUGGCAGCAAACAGGAUCGAAUUUUCAACUUAAUUUAUGAAUUUGGCCAAACUAUCUAUGGGAAGUCUUGCCUGGAGGACCUUCCGUGGCUGCUUCAUGUCCCAACAGGCCUUGCCUUUCAUAGAAGACAUGAUUGCUUUAAGAGAGUCCCAACCAGAGAAGAGGAUGGUGGAGCAGGGAAGAGGGGAAGGUAGGACUGAACAGAGGCUUUGAUUGUGAGGCUCCAGCCUGACCCAUGCUUCCUCCUGCCUUCCUGCCUCAACCCUUCCCGGUGGACCCCUCACCAGAUGAAGGUCUGUUAGCUGAGCUGGGGGAUGAUGACUCAGAGCAAUCGGGCCGACUUUCAGGCAAGGCCUAAGUUUGGUUUUAAUUAUGCUGUGCUAUGUGCAUGAACUAAAAUUGCGGGAUGAUGUGAAAGAAAAAUAAGAAGUGUAUUUUUUGGACUAUUUUUAAAUUCAGUUUGGGGGUAGGGGGGGCAUCUUCUUGGGUCUGGAGAGAAUAAUGUGAGGAAUUGGCUCCUAUGGGGCAUGAAUUAGAGCCUUGAUCCUAUAUGCCCCUGAAUGGAACCCAGAGGAGCUGCUGGCUCUCGCGAGUGAGCAGUCAGCCUUUGUCAUCAUGCAGGUCAGGCUCUCUGAUUGCAGCUAGUGUGUCCAGGAAUCCCAAUCAGACAUCCCUGCUGCGCAGUCAAGAAUCCUAUGUAGGCCAGGUGCAGUGGCUCACACCUGUAAUCCCAGCACUUUGGGAGGCCGAGGUGGGUGGAUCACCUGAGGUCAGGGGUUCAAGACCAGCCUGGCCAACGUGGUGAAACCCCGUCUCUACUAAAAAUACAAAAAUUAGCCGGGCAUGGUGGCAGGCACCUGUAAUCCUAGCUGCUCAGCAGGGGCUGAGGCAGGAGAAUCACUUGAACCCAGGGGGCGGAGGUUGCAGUGAACUGAGAUCACGCCAUUGCACUCCAGCCUGAGGGACAAGAGCAAGACUUAAGUCUCAAAAAAAAAAGAAAAAAAAAAAAAA